CGCACUUAUUCGAGGCUAAUUUGUCGAUAUAUACUGUAUACGUGAUAUGUCCGUGACAAGGAAACGGAAGAUACAUAAUGCAGACUUGUUUGAUUACUAAUUUUUCCAGGAAGUCUUCGAAUUACGUUUUCAAAUCUAGUUUCUAGACGGAAUGGCAUUUCUGAUUUCCUGUGUUCUGCACUUCUUGGGAAGAUUUGACAUGGGC
Non-coding RNA from Paramuricea clavata, 205 nucleotides. The record is from the annotation of a GenBank genome assembly. NCBI's taxonomy places the organism in Eukaryota, Metazoa, Cnidaria, Anthozoa, Malacalcyonacea, Plexauridae.